AUACUGACCUGGCGUAGAGGAUACCGUGAUCAUGUAGGCGGUUCCCCCAGGGCGAGGCUGCUCCAUUGCACUGCGGAGUGGUUAGACCUUGCGACUAUUUUUAUUUUUAUCAAUAAAAAAAUCGUAACGAAAAUGUAUACCCGAAUAAUUAUUUUCUUUAUA
This 162-nucleotide small nuclear RNA is filed under the name Bombyx mandarina (wild silkworm). RNAcentral describes it as "U1 spliceosomal RNA". Lineage: Eukaryota; Metazoa; Arthropoda; Insecta; Lepidoptera; Bombycidae. The record is from RNAcentral.